ACAGACCUUGCUCAGGUCACGUUCUGAGCCUGCUUCUCACUCCUGCCCCCUCCCACCCUCCUGGUUCUGCCAUGGACAAGCUGAAGUCUCUCUGAGACCAGGGGACCCGCAUGGCCCAGCCACCCCACCCCACCAUCUCCCAGGCAUGUGAGAAAAUAUCACAUUCUCUGUGUUUUGGAGAUUUCUUCUAAAUGUAUUUUCCAACUAUCAUUUCAUAGCAAAUCAGCGAGAAAAAAGAAAAUAGACUCUACUUAGAAAUGAAACUCAACUAAAGGUAAAAGUUGUCAGGAACAUCUCCAAGAAAGCCAGAGUCAGCCUCUAAACUUUGCAUCAAGAACGCAAUGGCUUCCCUGAGGGCCCAGGGACGCGUGGCAGCUGUGAGGCAGCCCCUUCUCUGCUGUCGAGGAACUGGACACUUCUCCUGUCCCUUCCCACAAGGGGCUUCCUGGAGCUCCUGCAACCCCAGGCAUUAGUUCCGGUGCAGUUCUAGGAUCAGAUCAAUUCACUCGACAACAAGAGAAACAAAUGGAGAUUCCUACACAAAGACUUUCAAGCACAAAGAAAUCCUGCUGCCUGUAAAGCGGAGCUGCCUCAGCCCUUGAUGAACGACAGAAAAUCUCACAUUCCAGGAAUUCAGAUGAAGUGAAGUGCUCUCAUGGGGACCAGGCAUGGUUAUGCCAGUCCACUGCCCUGCAAGCCUCAAGGGAAGCCAACUGCCCUUCAGCAAGUCACACCUGCCUUGGUGGAGGCCUUGAUUGGAAGUGCCACACGCUACAUGUCCAGUCCUGAGCGGGAGAAUCGGUGUAGGGACGUUCUGGGGAUGCCAGCUGUGGCCAGAUCAGGUCCAACUACAGAAGAAUAAUGAAGACUCCACCUGAGGGCUGGAAAAACAAAACCUCAAGUGUGAGGCAGCCAACCUGUUACCUCGAGGGACUGUUCCGCAG
This is a long non-coding RNA of Homo sapiens (human), 944 nucleotides long. NCBI's taxonomy places the organism in Eukaryota, Metazoa, Chordata, Mammalia, Primates, Hominidae. The record is from Ensembl.